CUCUUCUUUUCGCACUAGUAAUGUUUCCAUAUAAAACAUUCUUUCUUUUUAAAUCCCAUUUUAUGAAAGUCUUUAAAAAAUUAAUAAAACUGUUGGUAAAAUGGCAGACAGCAGCACAACAUAUCUUUAUAUGGUAAUGAGAAAAUACUGACAAAUCAUAGUAGGUUAAACAAAGCAUGUUAAAAAUCCUCAAUCAGCUCUCAGGAAUCUUCUGAGCUGAAUUUUGGCUUCCAUUAGAUGAUAUCUGGUAUCUUAUAAUAAGAACUAAACGGAAUUUACUUUGAAUUUGAAUUAAUUUUACAUAAACAUAAUUUGAAAUUUCAUUAAUUGCAAACUAGAUGUAGCAAAAUAACAUUUUCCUCCAUAAACCUGAGGCAGUAUCUCUCAUAAAUACACAUACCAUCAGUAGGAAGAAUAGACACAUAUAAGGAACAUACAAGAAGAGAGAAAUAUAUAGAGAAUAUUUGUGACUGGGAUACACACUUAGGGAUUGCAAACGUUCGGGGUACAUUUCUGGACUCAUGCCUCCAAUUCAAUAGGUUAACAUAUUUUCUGGUUAUGUCAUCACAUUGUUCUUACUGGGUCUGUUUGCAGCUGAUUUCAAAUAAUAUCAAGUCUCUGUCAGGUAUAUGGAUAUAUUAUGUACCCAGACAUGCCAUGCACCAUACCUACUGAUCUGACAGGGAUACUUCGGUUUAGUUCACUGCUGGUUCUUAUGUUAGAGUGUGUCAUUGCCACACAUGACUCUAUGGGUUACAAGAUCAUAGGACUUCUCUCCGUUUCUAGCUUCUAGUACUAGCUGUGGUCCUAAAUGUAAUCUUUUCCCCUUUACAGGAAAAGUGAGGUUUAUCAUUUCUCUUUUAGCUUUGAGCCCAGAGGCUUAAGCUUUAGUUCUCAGAUGUAGUCAUCAUAUUAGGGAAACACUCUUGCUUCCUUCUCCACUCUCUCCUCACCCAAUAAUGGGAGUCUCUUGAUUCUCAGAGCUUUGACUCUGGUAAGGUUUUUCCUUUCCAAAAGGAAAAUCUUUACCCCCUCCUACAUCCCCAAAUCAAACUUUUUGGGAAACAAAACUGUUAGACAACUAAGUAGACAUAUAAGCAUUGUCUAUUUUUUUUUCUCUAUCUCUAACUUCCUGCUCAUGAAGAGUAGUAUCUUUAUUCCCAGUCAUUGAAAGACUAAUGAUUAGAAAAUCCCUGUUCAGUCCUGCUAAAAGUCAGCUGCUGAAGAACCCAUCCUUACAAUCAUUUUAGGUGCUUCCCAUUCAGCAAAUCAAAACCUGUAUUGGUUGUUGUGAAAAAAGCACUUUGUAAAUCCUAAAGCAUUAUAUAACUAAGCUGUUAUUAUUGUUACUAGUAGUAGUAAUAAUAAUAAAAAUAAAUGUAGACACCUGUGAAUUAUAUCCCUUAAGGCUCAGUUAAAAUUCCACCCCCAUGAAAUAGUUCUAUAGUUCAGCAGAAGCUUUAGACCAAAGAUCAUGA
This 1478-nucleotide long non-coding RNA is filed under the name Sarcophilus harrisii (Tasmanian devil). Its description in RNAcentral is "lncRNA (ENSSHAG00000031843.1)". The record is from RNAcentral. Lineage: Eukaryota; Metazoa; Chordata; Mammalia; Dasyuromorphia; Dasyuridae.